RNAcentral lists this ribosomal RNA (367 nucleotides) under uncultured bacterium. RNAcentral's name for it is "bacterial SSU rRNA". It matches the Rfam family "Bacterial small subunit ribosomal RNA", at positions 29 to 423 of the family's 1533-position model. The record is from RNAcentral.
AACGAACGCUGGCGGCAGGCCUCAAACAUGCAAGUCUAGGGGGUGCAGCAAUGCAUCACCGGCGGACGGGUGCGUAACGCGUGGGAAUAUACCUUUUGGUUCGGAACAACUGCGGGAAACUGCAGCUAAUACCGAAUGUGCCCUAACGGGGAAAGAUUUAUCGCCAAAGGAUUAGCCCGCGUAGGAUUAGCUAGUUGGUGAGGUAAUGGCUCACCAAGGCUCCGAUCCUUAGCUGCUUGAGAGGAAGAUCAGCCACACUGGGACUGAGACACGGCCCAGACUCCUACGGGAGGCAGCAGUUGGGAAUCUUGGACAAUGGGGGAACCCUGAUCCAGCCAUGCCGCGUGAGUGAUGAAGGCCUUCGGUU